CCAUUGCAUGCCUAGUACGGCGAGUGAGCGGCAACAGCUCAAAUUUGAAAGCUGGCUCCGGCCCGCGUUGUAAUUUGCAGAGGAUGCUUUUGGCGAGGUGCCUUCCGAGUUCCCUGGAACGGGACGCCAUAGAGGGUGAGAGCCCCGUAUGGAUGGACACCAGACCUGUGUAAAGCUCCUUCAACGAGUCGAGUAGUUUGGGAAUGCUGCUCUAAAUGGGAGGUAAAUCUCUUCUAAAGCUAAAUACCGGCCAGAGACCGAUAGCGCACAAGUAGAGUGAUCGAAAGAUGAAAAGCACCUUGAAAAGGGGGUUAAACAGUACGUGAAAUUGUUGAAAGGGAAGCGCUUGUGACCAGACUUGCGCCGGGCAGCUCAUCAGGGGUUCUCCCCUGUGCACUCUGCCCGGCUCAGGCCAGCAUCGGUUCUCGUGGGAGGAUAAGAACAGUGGGAACGUGGCCCCCUCUCGGGGGGGUGUUAUAGCCCAUUGUACGAUACUCUCGUGGGGACCGAGGUUCGCGCUCCGCAAGGAUGCUGGCGUAAUGGUCAUCAGCGACCCGUCUGA
RNAcentral lists this ribosomal RNA (562 nucleotides) under Cytospora rusanovii. RNAcentral describes it as "eukaryotic LSU rRNA". It matches the Rfam family "Eukaryotic large subunit ribosomal RNA", at positions 68 to 656 of the family's 3401-position model. The record is from RNAcentral. Lineage: Eukaryota; Fungi; Ascomycota; Sordariomycetes; Diaporthales; Cytosporaceae.